Long non-coding RNA from Oncorhynchus keta (chum salmon), 3750 nucleotides. RefSeq lists it as uncharacterized. Lineage: Eukaryota; Metazoa; Chordata; Actinopteri; Salmoniformes; Salmonidae. The transcript is spliced from 4 exons. The record is from RefSeq and is a predicted model, not a curated record.
CUAAACCAUGCGUUUUAGGCCUUAUGGGAUAUGUAAUGUAUUGUCAUAAAGAGUUUAAUUAUAAUGAUAACAUUCGCCUAGGAACUCAGUUGGUGAAGGCCACAGGACUGAAUUCAACAACCAUGUCUAAUAAGAAGACUAGUAAAUAAAGUAAUGGGUGGUACUCGGAAAAUCACUCCAAAAAAGUCACAGUGACUAUCGGUUUGAGUAAUGACAACUUAAUCACGUUCAGUAACUGUGACCGACUGCCUUGAUUCAGUCUUAUGUGGAACAAUUUGAAAAUGUGGUUUUUACAUUGGAUAAAAGCAGAGACACAGAGCUACAAAAUGGUAUAUCAUACACUGCAUUUGAGGAACAAUGGGAAAGUCAUUCUGCUUUGAAAGUUGAUAAACUUGUAACCUCACUUUUGAGAAAAUGGCCUUGGAAUGUGUUGGUACCAACUGGAGAGCUCUUCUUUGUCUACACCCAUUCAGCAUCGUUCACACCCGCUGAAGCUUUUGACGACCCAGCACACACUGGCCGAUAAGUAGGGUUGAUCCGUUCUGACCUCGCAACGAGCGUUCUGACCUCACAACGGCAGUCAAGCACCCAAGCUAAUUGGCUAAAAUUAGCUAGCUUGCUAGCUACUUCCAGAUACAAAUGAGAGAACAUCCCACUUUGACUAUUUUACUCGCCCUAGCAGAGCUGGUUAGGCUGUUUUCAUGUUAUCCAGAGCAUUGGUGACUAUAACUGUGAUGCUGUGAUGCUGACGUUUACUGACACCGGCCAUAUUCAAACGGGUGUUGAGCGUUCGUAAAUUAAUCAGCUAUACUGCACUCUGGCACACUCAGACGAGAGUGCUCUGAAAUCGGAGUAGAUGGCCAGACUGAAUUUACGAACACACCCAAAAUGGUUACUUGCGUAGUGGAGUCUUUUGUUAAGACAUGUAGCUAGCUAGCUAGGUAAACAAUGAACCAUAAUCCCAACUCAUUACAUUACUACCCUGCAUGAAUCUACAGGUAGCUAACCAACCAGGUUCAAUGUUAUCUAGCUAACAUUAGGCUAUAACUAGCCAAGCAGAUGGCUCUGAGAUACGAAUAAUAAGAUCAUACACAUAACGUUAGCUAGCGAGCAAGCCAGCUAACGUUAGCUAGCUAGCUAACAGUACACAUUAACUUGAAAUGAAAAUGACUUUGUCAAAAUUAGAAAUGUGUAAUAUCUGAAACUGUAGCUAGCUAGACUAUCUUACCCGUGUGCAGCAUGUUUGGACAUUUCUCCCUGGCACGGAUGCUAUUGUUGACCUUUAUUUGAUCCGGAGACAGGUGUUUUCUCUAUCUCCUUAGCUAUCACACUCUAAUUCCACUGAUUUCAAAACUCGGCCCUCCAGAAAGUGGAGAACAAUAUAUUUAUUUUUUAAAGCCGCAUUUAAAAGUUUUACCUACACAUACUCACCAGCUCAAAUAGACAGAAGCGUGCUAUAUGGCAGACCAAUCUGAACGCAUCUCUCGGUAUGUCUAGCCCACUCAUUAUCUCAGCCAAUCAUGGGUAGCGAGAAGGUUGCCUCUUUUUCUGUGGCUAAACCAACUAGGCUCGUAAUUUAACAAUUUUAUCCAUAUUUACCGAUGGUAUACAAGUUUCUUAUUGGCAUUUCUGCCAAAAAAUCCAUUUUGAUUUUCUCAUGUUAAGUAGUGACCUGCGACAUAUGCCUAGUUUCCUGAAUGGGUCUCUGCAGCACUCCACCAAUCAGGCCUUUAUGGUAGAGUGUCCAAACGGAAGCCACUCCUCAGUAAAAGGCACAUGACAGCCCGCUUGGAGUUUGCCAAAAAGCAGGAUUCUCAGACGAUGAGAAACAAGAUUCUCUGGUCUGAUGAAACCAAGAUUGAACACUUUGGCCCAAAUGCCAAGCGUCAUGUCUGGAGGAAACCCAGCACCCUCCCUGCGGUGAAGCAUAGUGGGGGCAGCAUCAUGCUGUGGAGAUGUUUUUGUUUGCGGCAGGGACUGGGAGACUAGUCAUGAUCGAGGGAAAGAUGAACAGAGCAAAGUACAGAGAGAUCCUGGAUGAAAACCUGCUCCAGAGCCCUCAGGGCAGGAUUGGGGGUGAAGGUUCAUCUACCAAAAGGACAACGACCCUAAGCACACAGCCAAGACAACGCAGGAGUAGCUUCGGGACAAGUCUCUGAAUGUCCUUGAGUGGCCCAGCCAGAGCUCGGACUUGAACCCAUCGAACAUCUCUGGAGAGACCUGGAAAUAGCUGUGCAGCUGUGCAGAGUUUGAGAAGAUCUGCAGAGAAGAAUGGGAGAAACUCCCCAAAUACAGGUAUGCAAAGCUUGUAGUUUCAUACCCAAAGAAGACUUGAGGCUGUAAUCGCUGCCAAAGGUGUAUUCAGUAAGGGUCUGAAUGUAAAUAACAUAGAUGUGAUAUUUCAGUUGUUUUUGCUGUUUUUGCUUUGUCGUUAUGGGGUAUUGUGUGUAGAUUGAUGAGGGAAAAAAACAAUUAAAUCAAUUUUAGAAUAAGGCUGAAAUGUUACAAAAUGUGGAAAAAAAUCAAUGGGUCUGAAUACUUUCCUGAAUGCACUAUAGUAUAACGGGUUUCCUCAAAAGUUUUGAAUAAUGGCAGCGCAUUGGGGUUUGCAGUGCAUCAUCAUCACAUAGAACUGAGCUCUCUAGAGAGCACUCAACUGCUUCACAGCACUCACUAUGUCUGUAGCUUGGUCUAUUCUCUUACCCCUCCCCUGAUGGAACAGAAAGUAAAAAGACUACUAGUGCAGAGUGAUGUUGACUUGCGCAUGUGUGUGUGAGCUUAAUGUCAGACAGGCAGUUGGCAGGCCGUGCAAUAACAGGCUCCUGUUCGAGUCUUGCAGACUCAUGCCAUUUUAAGUAAACAGCCAGCAUAGACCAGGGGCUUGUCCACACACACACACACACACACACACACACACACACACACACACACACACACACACACACACACACACACACACACACACACACACACACACACACACACACACACACACACACACACACACACACAUCUCUGGUCUAAACAGCCUCUCUGGUUUCUGCCAGUCCUCCAGUUGGGUCUCACACACAGAAUCCUGUCCAUUUCACAGUUCAUUUUAUCCUGAUUUAGAGAUAUAUGCUGCCGGUGCGGCAGGGUAGCCUAGUGGUUAGAGCGUUGGACUAGUAACCGAAAGGUUGCAAGUUCGAAUCCCCGAGCUGACAAGGUACAAAUCUGUCGUUCUGCCCCUGAACAGGCAGUUAACCCACUGUUCCCAAGCCGUCAUUGAAAAUAAUGUUCUUAACUGACUUGCCUGGUUAAAUAAAGGUAAAGUUGUGUACAGACUUAAAUGUUCCAUAAUACAUGUACUUUAUAUUAAAGGAGGUCUUAAAUGUUCCAGACGACAUGUACUUUAUAUUAAAGGAGGACUUAAAUGUUCCAGACUACAUGUACUUUAUAUUAAAGGAGGACUUAAAUGUUCCAGACUACAUGUACUUUAUAUUAAAGGAGGACUUAAAUGUUCCAGACUACAUGUACUUUAUAUUAAAGGAGGUCUUAAAUGUUCCAUAAUACAUGUACUUUAUAUUAAAGAAGGACUUAAAUGUUCCAGACUACAUGUACUUUAUAUUAAAGGAGGACUUAAAUGUUCCAGACUACAUGUACUUUAUAUUAAAGGAGGACUUAAAUGUUCCAGACUACAUGUACUUUAUAUUAAAGGAGGUCUUAAAUGUUCCAGACUACAUGUACUUUAUAUUAAAGGAGGUCUUAAAU